UACGAAGGGGGCUAGCGUUGUUCGGAUUUACUGGGCGUAAAGCGCACGUAGGCGGAUCGUUAAGUCGGGGGUGAAAUCCUGGAGCUCAACUCCAGAACUGCCUUCGAUACUGGCGAUCUUGAGUCCGGAAGAGGUGGAGUGGAACUCCUAGUGUAGAGGUGGAAUUCGUAGAUAUUAGGAAGAACACCAGUGGCGAAGGCGGCUCACUGGUCCGGUACUGACGCUGAGGUGCGAAAGCGUGGGGAGCAAACAGGG
This 255-nucleotide ribosomal RNA is filed under the name uncultured bacterium. RNAcentral's name for it is "partial 16S ribosomal RNA". It matches the Rfam family "Bacterial small subunit ribosomal RNA", at positions 524 to 777 of the family's 1533-position model. The record is from RNAcentral.